Long non-coding RNA from Oncorhynchus mykiss (rainbow trout), 1596 nucleotides. NCBI's taxonomy places the organism in Eukaryota, Metazoa, Chordata, Actinopteri, Salmoniformes, Salmonidae. The record is from Ensembl.
AUGGAAUAUCUACAGAGGCGUACAGAGGCCCAUUAUCAGCAACCCAUCACUCCUGUGUUCCAAUGGCACGCUCUCUCUCUCCCACCUCUCUCUCUGCCACCUCUCUCUCUCUCUCCCACCUCUCUCUCUCUCUCCCACCUCUCUCUCUCUCUCCCACCUCUCCCCCCUUUCUCUCUCUUCCACCUCUCUCUCUCUCUCUUCCUCUCUCUCUCCCACCUCUCUCUCUCUCUCUCCCACCUCUCCCCCUCCCUCUCUCUCUCUCUUCCACCUCUCUCUCUCUCCCACCUCUCUGUCUCUCUCUCUCUGCCACCUCUCUCUCUCUCUCUCUCUCUCUCUCUCUCUCUCUCUCUCUCUCUCUCUCUCUCUCUCUCUCACUCUCUCUCCUCUCUCUCUCACUCUCUCUAUCCCCUCUCUCUCUCUCUAUCCCUCUCUCUCUCUCUCUCCCACCUCUCUCUCUCUCUCUCUCUUUCUCCCACCUCUCUCUCUCUCCCACCUCUCUCUCUCUCUCCCACCUCUCCCUCUCUCUCUCUCCCACCUCUCUCUCUCUCUCUCUCCCACCUCUCUCUCUCUCUCUCUCUCUCUCCCACCUCUCUCUCUCUCUCCCAACUCUCUCUCUCUCUCUCCCACCUCUGUCUCUCUCUCUCUUCCACCUCUCUCUCUCUCCCACCUCUCUCUCUCUCUCUCUUCCACCUCUCUCUCUCUCCCACCUCUCUCUCUCUCUCUCUCCCACCUCUCUCUCUCUCUCCCACCUCUCUCUCUCUCCCACCUCUCCCCCCUUUCUCUCUCUUCCACCUCUCUCUCUCUCUCUUCCUCUCUCUCUCCCACCUCUCUCUCUCUCUCUCUCUCUCCCAGCUCUCCCCCUCCACCUCUCUCUCUCUCCCACCUCUCUGUCUCUCUCUCUCUGCCACCUCUCUCUCUCUCUCUUCCUCUCUCUCUCCCACCUCUCUCUCUCUCUCCCACCUCUCCCCCUCUUCCACCUCUCUCUCUCUCCCACUUCUCUCCCUCUCUCUCCCACCUCUCUCUCUGCCACCUCUCUCUCUGCCACCUCUCUCUCUCUCUCUCUUCGUCUCUCUCCCACCUCUCCCCCUCCCUCUCUCUCUCUCUCUUCCACCUCUCUCUCUCUCCCACCUCUCUGUCUCUCUCUCUCUCUGCCACCUCUCUCUCUCUUCCUCUCUCUCUCCCUUCCUCUCUCUCUCCCACCUCUCCCCCUCUUCCACCUCUCUCUAUCUCUCUCCCACCUCUCUGUCUCUCUCUCUCUCUCCCACCUCUCUCUCUCUCUCUCUCCCACCUCUCUCUCUGCCACCUCCCUCUCUCUCUUCGUCUCUCUCCCACCUCUCUCUCUCUCUCCCACCUCUUCCCCUCCCUCUCUCUCUCUCUCUCUCUUCCACCUCUCUCUCUCUCUCCCACCUCUCUGUCUCUCUCUCUCUCUCUGCCACCUCUCUCUCUCUCUCUUCAUCUCUCUCUCCCACCUCUCUCUCUCUCUCCCACCUCUCGCCCUCUUCCACCUCUCUCUCUCUCUCCCACUUCUCUCUCUCCCACCUCUCUCUCUCUCUCUACGAGAACUGCACACAACGUGAGGGUAAGCAGUGCCUGUAA